CUGAUUUUAAAUUCUUUCUGGACAAGAGUGUUAGUUUGCUCAUUUUCAAUAUUCAUACAUCAUCAAUAAUCAAAUUUCCGAUGUAUCCAAAAAAAAAAAUCACUUUUCUAUUGCACUUAAAAACCCAUAUCAAAGGCUGUUUGACUAGCUCCCCUGGCCCUACCAAUUUACAGAAAUAUGGUCGAUAUACUCAAUAACGUAAGGCAUGAAAACAACUAGGGAACAACGUUCUUCAUCUUGCAGCUAACAAUGUAAUGGUAAUUUCAUUUGCUGAACAUGUAUCAACCUUGCUAGAGGAUGAUUCGUGCUCAAAAACUCUCCUUUCAGUGAAAAAACCAGGCUCUUUAGGUUGAGGCAAUGCAAUCUCACUACUUAGCAUCAAUAUCACUGUUGACAUGUUAGGCCUAUCUUCUGGACUUUGUUGUACACAUAAUAAACCAACAUGGAUUGAACGCAUCACUUGAGAUAAAAUGCAAGAAUCCUUUAAAGAUUCAUCGAUCAACUCCGAUGACUUCUCUUCUAAAUAGAGUCUCCAUGCCUGAAAAUUUCAGAAAUGAUUAAUUCCAUUAUGCAGUUGACAUAGGAAAAUAUGAUGUAAUGUUCUUCGAGUUGAAACUUACAUGCCCAAGAAGGUUGUGCUGGUGGUCUGGAUGAUAGAAUCCUCUAUUUCUCUUCCCAUUGACUAUCUCUAGCACUAAUACACCAAAACUAAAUACAUCUGAUUUUAUUGAAAAUAGACCAUCAAUUGCAUACUCUGGAGACAUGUAACCACUGCAAAGAGUUGUUGUUGGAAGUUAAUGAUUUUCAAGUACUAAUAGAUUGAUUAGAUGUGUUAGGUCUAAAUAGACUUACUAUGUUCCGACAACUCUUUUUGUGUUUCCUUGAAUUUCAUUUCCCCCAAAACUCCUUGCCAUGCCAAAAUCUGAAAUU
This 930-nucleotide unclassified non-coding RNA is filed under the name Hevea brasiliensis (rubber tree). Lineage: Eukaryota; Viridiplantae; Streptophyta; Magnoliopsida; Malpighiales; Euphorbiaceae. The record is from RNAcentral.